CCUACGGGUGGCAGCAGUGGGGAAUAUUGCACAAUGGGUGAAAGCCUGAUGCAGCAACGCCGCGUGAGUGAUGAAGGCCUUCGGGUCGUAAAGCUCUGUCCUCAAGGAAGAUAAUGACGGUACUUGAGGAGGAAGCCCCGGCUAAGUACGUGCCAGCAGCCGCGGAAAUACGUCGGGGGUUAGCGUUAGCGGGAAUUACGGGGCGUAAAGGGUGCGUAGGUGGUUUCUUAUGUCAGAGGUGAAAGGCUACGGCUAAACCGUAGUAAUCCUUUGAAACUGGGGAACUUGAGUGCAGGAGAGGAGAGUGGAAUUCCUAGUGUAGCGGUGAAAUGCGUAGAUAUUAGGAGGAACACCAGUGGCGAAGGCGGCUCUCUGGACUGUAACUGACACUGAGGCACGAAAGCGUGGGGAGCAAACAGGAUUAGAUACCCGGGUAGUC
Molecule: ribosomal RNA, 439 nt
Filed under: uncultured bacterium
Lineage: Bacteria
Description: partial 16S ribosomal RNA
Rfam family: Bacterial small subunit ribosomal RNA
Source: RNAcentral